UAAGCGGAGGAAAAGAAACUAACAAGGAUUCCCCUAGUAACUGCGAGUGAAGCGGGAAAAGCUCAAAUUUAAAAUCUGGUGGCCUUUGUCCAUNCGAGUUGUAAUUUAGAGAAGCGUCNUNCGCGCUGGACCGUGCACAAGUCUCCUGGAAUGGAGCGUCGUAGAGGGUGAGAAUCCCGUCUUUGGCACGGACAUACCAGGGCUUCUGUGAUGCGCUCUCAAAGAGUCGAGUUGUUUGGGAAUGCAGCUCAAAAUGGGUGGUGAACUCCAUCUAAAGCUAAAUAUUGGCGAGAGACCGAUAGCGAACAAGUACCGUGAGGGAAAGAUGAAAAGCACUUUGGAAAGAGAGUGGAACAGUACGUGAAAUUGUUGAAAGGGAAACGCUUGAAGUCAGUCGCGUCGGCCGAGACUCAGCCUUGCCUCGGCUCGGUGUACUUCUCAGUCGACGGGUCAGCAUCAAUUUUGCCCCUUGGAUAAUGGCGAGGGAAAUGUGACACCUUCGCAGGUGUGUUAUAGUCUCUCGUCGCAUGCAAGGGUCGGGAUUGAGGAACUCAGCACGCGCCUUCGGGCGUCGGGGUUUUGCCCACGAUACGUGCUUAGGAUGUUGGCGUAAUGGCUUUAAACGACC
RNAcentral lists this ribosomal RNA (628 nucleotides) under uncultured Russulaceae. RNAcentral's name for it is "LSU rRNA". It matches the Rfam family "Eukaryotic large subunit ribosomal RNA", at positions 47 to 649 of the family's 3401-position model. The record is from RNAcentral. Lineage: Eukaryota; Fungi; Basidiomycota; Agaricomycetes; Russulales; Russulaceae.